AUCAGGCUUGUGUGAAACUACAUUCCCCAUGGAUCUGUCUCCCUGGCCCUAGUUAAUUCUUUAAGGAAUUUAUACUAAUGAAAUGUUUCCACUAUAUUAAUGAAAUGUCUCCCUUUUGUUCUUUCUUGAGUUCUCAUAUCAUGUUAAAACCUAAUGUCAUAAAAACUGAUUGUGAAAUGUUUCCUCCUAUUCUGUUUUCCAGAAGAAAAUGAAUUGAAUUAUUAGGUUUUUUUUAAUUGUAGAAUUCUCCAAUUACACCUUUUAGAGCUGAAGAUUUUGGGAGGAGUUUCUCAGGUAUGAAUUACAUUUCUUUAAAAUUUUUAGAGAUAUUGAAAUGAUCUGUUUUGGUGAUUUGUUGCAUGAAAGGAAAUGGUCCAUUUCAUCUUGUUUUCCAAUUUAUAUAUGUAGAGUUUUGAAUAAUAAUCCCUUAGCCUUUGGUCUUUAUAAGGUUUGUAAGCGAUAUUCUUUGCAUUUCUGAUUGUCCUUCCUUCUCUUUCCUUUUUGCAACUUCACAUGAUCUUUUUUUUAAAAGCUCCUAAGGUCAUUUAGUGCUUCCUGUGUGUACAUGGUUGUAGGACUAUCUUCUGGAACAUCAGAGGCUACAUCCCAGAAUAAAACUGACUAUCCUUUCCACAACAGCCAUUGGCUGGCUGGCAAUAGUGUCUCAGCUAGAGGUACCCUUCCUGUGACUAUUAGGAAUUUGACUAGCUUGCUCUUGCAUGGGUCUUAUGCAAGCAGUUACAGUUCAUGUAUAUGACUUUCCUCUUAUGUCCAAAAAAUAAUAUUUCACUGUAGACAUCUAUUAGUUUUGUAUCUUAAAUCUUUCUGCUCCCUCUUCUAAAAUGAGCCCUGGGCCUUGGGUUGAGGGAUAUAAUAUAAUACAUUAGAUUAGAUAGAGGUUCCAUUUAGAGUUGAGCAUUCCAUAGUCUCUUAUUCUUUCUCUUCUUACAUUCUCAUGAUUCAUUGAAAUAGAUUUUAGGAUUCCAUUUGUAUUUAUAUUCCAUUUUAUUAGAUCAGACUGUAUAGUUUUCCCAGUAAUUAUUAAAUAAUUAUACAUAAGGAUUUUUUAACAUAGCCUACCUUUGGAAUUUCAUCAGUUUUACUAAAAUGCAGAAAUUGUCCUUGCAUUAAUAUCAUGUUACCUUCCUUCUAAUGGGUAGUCUUGACUAUUUCCUGUAGGCACACUAACUGUCAGAAGAGACGGUGUCAGAGGUUUGACUUCAUUCCUUGGCUAUGAUUUAUAGAACUCAGGAGAAGAAUCGUUCAUUACAUUAUCACGAUUUUUACCUGUACUUGAUUUCUCCUCUCCUUUGUGACGUCUCUGACCUUCUUCUGUUAUCAUUUCCUCUCUGUUUAAAGGACUUCCUUCAGGCAUUAUUCAGUGAUGGGGUCAUGAGCAACAAUAUCUCUGAGUUUUCCUUAAUCUGAGAAUAUCUUGAUUUCCCCUUCAUUAUUUAAGGAUAUGUUUGCCAGAUAUAUAAUUUGAGGUUGACAGUUCUUUUCUUUCAGCACUUGAAAAAUGUUGUGGUAUUUCCUCCUGGCCUCUGUGGUUCCUGAAGAAAAGUACCUUGUCAUAACUAAUGUGCCACUUUGUCCAGAUGUUCUCAAGAGUCGUUGUGUGCCUUUUAGUUGCUGGAAAUAGCAGUGUAAGUUCUCUUAGUCUGAAUUUAUUCUGUUUGAGAUUCUCUUUUAGACUUGAAUCUGUAUGUUUAUUCCCCUUUCUGAACUGUGGCUGACACAAACAUUGGGUCUUUGGUUACUGUUCUUGGAAGUCCCUGAGCCUUUCCAUCUUUCCUCUUCAGCUUCUUUUACUAGUUUUUCCUUUCUUGGGUGCCUUCCUCACAGAAAGCUGCUCAGGACAUGGAUUCUAUGACUCUUUAUUAGUUUUGUCUUUUUUCAUUUCAACUUUGUUAGCCCAUUGAGUGGGUUGCUUUGCCUUUAUAACUAUAUUUUUUAUAACUAUAUUUUUAUGUCUGUAACUUUAAUUCUGUUCUUUUUUAUAACUUCAGAUUCUUUUCUAUUUUGUUAACUUCACAUUUGUUGGUAAUUUCGUGUUGAAUAUUUUAAUGAUGGUAGCUUUCAAAUUCUAGUCAAAUAAUUCCAGUGCCUGAAUUAUUUUGAUGUUAAGGCUUAGUGAUUUUUGUUCCUUUUUCUUGGUUCUUGGGAUGGUAAUGUUUACAUAUAUCCUGGGUAUUUUUAAAUUACAGAUGUUUGAGUGCAAUUCAUUCUUCUGUUUUAAUAACCAGUGUCCAUAGUAAGAUGUAGCAUGUGAAUCAUUUAGAUUUCAAUUUCUUGCAGGGUUAAACUAACACCAUUUGGGUGAAUGUAGGAUACUGAACUGAAAAUAGCCUUCUUGAGACGGUUGGGUAACUAGCCAUCUCCCUUGGUUCUGAUAACAUCUUCCUUGGAGAAAGGACUUUCCUUUGUGCCUCUGAUUGAGAUGAACUGUUCACUUGCUUAUUCCUACUAGAAGAGAGGGAAAUAGACGUGGAACAUGGCUGGAGGUUCUGCUGGUCUUUCAUAGCUCCCCGUUGGUUCCCCUGAUGAAGGAAUGGGGACAUGCAUGAACUCCUGUUACCUCUAAACAGGAGAAUUAGGGUGCUGCAGUCUGCUUCCACGAGGCUAGAGGGUUAGGUAGGUGGAAUGUCAUCUUCCCACCUUACCUGCUGCCACCUUCCAAAGAGGAGGAUUUUCCUACUAGUGUAAAUUAGAAUUAAGUAGGUGUUUCAAGACAGAUUUAUGUAGGCCACCUUUUCCACAGCCCUUUUGACUAUGGAUAAAGGAUUUUCUUGAAGCAUUUUUAAAAGACCAUUUUAGAGCAUUUAGAAUUAAAGUGAGAAUGUAGUAGAGCUCUCAUAUACCUUUUGCUCCAUCGCCAACUUGCACAGCCCCCCCCCCGCUACUAUCCAUAUUCUCUUUCAGAAGGAUGCCACUUGCAGGAUGAUCUGUUCAGUAGUGAAGUUACAUUGAGACACAUAAUUAUCCACACUUCACCUAAAAUCCAUAGUGCAAGUUCUGGUAUACUCUUAGCAUUGUGCAUUCUAGAGUUGAACAAAUGAAUAACAAUCACCUGUUAUACUGGAAACACACACAGCAUUUCCAUUGUUCUAAAAAUAUUUUGUGGCCAGGAGGUGGUGGUGCAUGCCUUUAAUCUGAGCACUCAGGAGGUAGAGGUAGGUGGAUCUCUGUGAGUUCGAGGCCAGCCUGGUCUACAAAGUGAGUUCCAGGACAGCCAGGGCUACACAGAAAAAACAUGUC
RNAcentral lists this long non-coding RNA (3258 nucleotides) under Mus musculus (house mouse). Its description in RNAcentral is "long non-coding RNA chrX:71069300-71072558". The record is from RNAcentral. Lineage: Eukaryota; Metazoa; Chordata; Mammalia; Rodentia; Muridae.